GAACAGUUGUCAAAAUAUUGAUCACAUUGAUUGCGGUGAUUUGCAGUAAGCAGCCAUAUGCCAUCCGAUGUCAAGGCUCAGCUUCUUCUGGCAUCAUUGAAUUUUUAGUAAACUUCAUAAGGCGUGAAGUUCCCUUUUGUGUCAAACACCUAACAAUUAACGGCCUCUCUUAUUUUGAUCAAGAGAGAAUUCCUGACGUCCCAGUUAAAGAGCUUCAAAGCUAAAGAGCUUUUCCCCAGUUACUGACAAAGUAAACAUCUCCUACGUCGGCUAGAUCCGUACACUGAGCACCGCCACCGCAAGCAGUAAGCAUAAGUCUCUUACCGCUGACAGUAAGGAGUGCUUAUCAUGUUUGAAGGAACUUACAACGAAAAGCAGAGGACCUUUGCAUUUCCGAGAUACAUGGCAAAACACGAUGGUUAUUAAAUCGGCGGACUAAAUGGCGAUAGAGAGCAACACUUUGGAUUUUGAGGAAACCAUAAGGCUCGGAGAAGCGAUAUGAGCAACAUCGCUCUGGAAAGUUCCACUGAUUCCACUAUCAACGCACUGAUCUUUUCCUUUGCGUCGGCUGUUUUCGAUGCUUUUCCCUUCCUUCUGCAAUCACGCAGUUCUGUAUUCCUUAUUUCGUUUCACUAAAGAUUGCUCAUUGCUUAAGCUAGAUCUGCCAUUGUGUUCCUCGAAUAAAAUUGGAAAAAGCUCACAAACUUUUUCUUGUGAAAAGCUCACACUCCCUAUCUUCGAAAAUUAGAAUAUUAGGGAACUAGAACAGACUGAUUAACUAUCAUGUAGGUGUUUUACAUUCUGCUGAGAAUGGACAAUCACUUCUUUUGUGGAAAUUGUGGGAAGACAAGGGAUAGGCGGCUUUAUUUUGGCAAAUUUAAUUCACUUGAAAAAUGUAAAUGAAAAUGUUUUUUAAACAAACGAAGAGAAAGUUGUGAUUAUAUUCCAGUACCUGCAUCCAGCAGUUCAACUAAAAAAGCACCAAACAGAUGAAGGUGAGAUAGCAUCGCAACUUGGUUAACGAUAGAAUGCAAUAAAGUCCAUCGAAUAGGUUUUUUUCAAGAAUCAUUCACUUCAAGUAUAAUUUAAUUGCACAUUCUGUCCAUCGUCGACCAGUGAAUAAUUCAAACGAUUCAUCGACAAAACAAACGUAGGCAUGAGGAAAAUGAAUGAAGGAUUGUGAACAAAUGAAUAAACGGAUAUAAUUUCCUGA
Long non-coding RNA from Stylophora pistillata, 1213 nucleotides. NCBI's taxonomy places the organism in Eukaryota, Metazoa, Cnidaria, Anthozoa, Scleractinia, Pocilloporidae. The record is from RefSeq and is a predicted model, not a curated record.